Transfer RNA from Brassica oleracea var. oleracea, 74 nucleotides. It matches the Rfam family "tRNA". Rfam says of the family: Transfer RNA (tRNA) molecules are approximately 80 nucleotides in length. Their secondary structure includes four short double-helical elements and three loops (D, anti-codon, and T loops). The record is from Rfam. NCBI's taxonomy places the organism in Eukaryota, Viridiplantae, Streptophyta, Magnoliopsida, Brassicales, Brassicaceae.
GCUUUAAUAGCUCAGUUGGUUAGAGCACCCGUUUAGUAAGUGGGAGGUCGUGAAUUUAACUUACAAUGAAAUCA